UACGUAGGGGGCAAGCGUUGUCCGGAAUCAUUGGGCGUAAAGAGCGUGUAGGCGGCCCGGUAAGUCCGCCGUGAAAGUCCAGGGCUCAACCCUGGGAUGCCGGUGGAAACUGUCGGGCUCGAGUCCGGAAGAGGCGAGUGGAAUUCCUGGUGUAGCGGUGAAAUGCGCAGAUAUCAGGAGGAACACCGGUGGCGAAGGCGGGUCUCUGGGCCGAUACUGACGCUGAGGAGCGAAAGCGUGGGGAGCGAACAGG
This 253-nucleotide ribosomal RNA is filed under the name uncultured bacterium. RNAcentral's name for it is "partial 16S ribosomal RNA". It matches the Rfam family "Bacterial small subunit ribosomal RNA", at positions 524 to 776 of the family's 1533-position model. The record is from RNAcentral.